GAUCCUGGCUCAGGACGAACGCUGGCGGCGCGCCUAACACAUGCAAGUCGAACGAGAGAUGAGGAGCUUGCUCUUCAAAUCGAGUGGCGAACGGGUGAGUAACGCGUGAGGAACCUGCCUCAAAGAGGGGGACAACAGUUGGAAACGACUGCUAAUACCGCAUAAGCCCACGGCCCGGCAUCGAGCAGGGGGAAAAGGAGCAAUCCGCUUUGAGAUGGCCUCGCGUCCGAUUAGCCAGUUGG
This 242-nucleotide ribosomal RNA is filed under the name uncultured bacterium. RNAcentral's name for it is "partial 16S ribosomal RNA". It matches the Rfam family "Bacterial small subunit ribosomal RNA", at positions 15 to 252 of the family's 1533-position model. The record is from RNAcentral.